AACGAACGCUGGCGGCGUGCUUAACACAUGCAAGUCGAACGGUAAGGCCCUUCGGGGUACACGAGUGGCGAACGGGUGAGUAACACGUGGGUGGUCUGCCCUGCACUUCGGGAUAAGCCUGGGAAACUGGGUCUAAUACCGGAUAGGACCACUGCCUGCAUGGGUGGUGGUGGAAAGCUUUUGCGGUGUGGGAUGGGCCCGCGGCCUAUCAGCUUGUUGGUGGGGUGAUGGCCUACCAAGGCGACGACGGGUAGCCGGCCUGGGAGGGUGACCGGCCACACUGGGGCUGAGAUACGGCCCAGACUCCUACGGGAGGCAGCAGUGGGGAAUAUUGCGCAAUGGGCGCAAGCCUGAUGCAGCGACGCCGCGUGAGGGAUGACGGCCUUCGGGUUGUAAACCUCUUUCAGCACCGACGAAGCGCAAGUGACGGUAGGUGCAGAAGAAGGACCGGCCAACUACGUGCCAGCCGCCGCGGUAA
RNAcentral lists this ribosomal RNA (478 nucleotides) under uncultured bacterium. Its description in RNAcentral is "partial 16S ribosomal RNA". It matches the Rfam family "Bacterial small subunit ribosomal RNA", at positions 28 to 523 of the family's 1533-position model. The record is from RNAcentral.